UCUAACCCUGUCUCUGUGAAAACAAUUCUACAGAAAUCUUUGAUCUUUAUUCCUAAAAAGAAAUCUUUGUUCCGUUCUCUGAAACAGAUAAACCCUAAAAAAUCACUUUUUCAUUCUGCGAUAGGGGAGACAGAUCGAGAGAUGGUUUCUCUUUCAGUAACAACGGCCAUUCUUGAUUAGAAGAAAAAAAAAGUGUUUGAUUUUCUCUGUGAAGAUUAGCGGUACGAAGGUUAAGAAGAAAGAUGAAACUUGGAAAUUUGGGAGGAAAAGUUAACUUUAUGCCCAGUUUUUGUUUCCAGGGAAUGCAAUCUCUUUAAAAAAUCUUUAUCCGCUAAAAGAUGGCCGUUACACCGGUUACUGAUAAGAUUUUUUGGGUUGCAGUUACUAAAGCCUUGAGAAGGUGCAGUUUAAUCAAUGGUCCCUGUGCAAGAGAUCACUACGCACAGUUGUAGCCCAUGUAUGCACCCUAAUGAGCUUUGUUUCUAAUCAAGCUGGGGACGAGCUGCAUCAAGGUUUUGAACUUGGUAACGGAUGUUUAAAAGCAUGAGUUAGCUGAAGUGCGAACUACAGCCUGCAUUUGCAUAAGAAGUGUUAUUCGGUCAGUUAAGGUUCGAAUAAGCAGUUUAUAUCUUAAAGUUCGAUUUGGUCUCUGGUGAUGUUUUUUCAAGGUUAUAAUUCAGAAUCUCAGUGCAGGUCAUUAUUUCAACGAAAUGACUGUGAUUCCCUUGGUUCGUUCAGCUUUUAAAUGAUCCAUGUAGUACGAUUCUUUGCUAGGCAACUGCAACCUAAUUCAUUUACGAGAGAGAAUGGUGCUAUAUAACUUGGCAGGUUUGUCAUACGGUAGUAGUUGGUGAGGAAUGUGACAUUUGGUGCAAGAGUUGUAGAGAUAAUUCUCCCGACCUGGCGACACCUUCAGUCUUGCAACCAGGUUUUGUUCCUUAUUUUGUGCAUAUCAGUGCGGAAUAAUGCAAUUUUGUCGUCCAAAACCCUACCAGAAAAGCUAUUUUGCACCCCUUCGACUCAGAGCUUCACAAU
Molecule: long non-coding RNA, 1035 nt
Organism: Papaver somniferum (opium poppy)
Lineage: Eukaryota; Viridiplantae; Streptophyta; Magnoliopsida; Ranunculales; Papaveraceae
Exons: 4
Source: RefSeq, a predicted model, not a curated record